This 86-nucleotide transfer RNA is filed under the name bovine gut metagenome. It matches the Rfam family "tRNA". From Rfam's summary of the family: Transfer RNA (tRNA) molecules are approximately 80 nucleotides in length. The record is from RNAcentral.
GAUAGAUGGCCGAGUGGUCGAAGGCGCACGAUUGGAAAUCGUGUGUGCCUCCAAAGGGCACCGAGGGUUCGAAUCCCUCUCUAUCC